Molecule: ribosomal RNA, 513 nt
Filed under: uncultured bacterium
Lineage: Bacteria
Description: partial 16S ribosomal RNA
Rfam family: Bacterial small subunit ribosomal RNA
Source: RNAcentral
GACGAACGCUGGCGGCAUGCCUAAUACAUGCAAGUCGAGCGAACAGAUGAAGUGCUUGCACUUCUGACGUUAGCGGCGAACGGGUGAGUAACACGUAAGGAAUCUACCUAUAAGCGGGGGAUAACAUUCGGAAACGGGUGCUAAUACCGCAUAAUAUCUUCUUCCGCAUGGAAGAAGACUGAAAGACGGCUCUGCUGUCACUUAUCGAUGACCUUGCGGUGCAUUAGUUAGUUGGUGGGGUAACGGCCUACCAAGACGAUGAUGCAUAGCCGACCUGAGAGGUUGAUCGGCCAAAUUGGGACUGAGACACGGCCCAAACUACUACGGGAGGCAGCAGUAGGGCAUCUUCCGCAAUGGGCGAAAGCCUGACGGAGCAAUGCCGCGUGAGUGAAGAAGGCCUUCGGGUCGUAAAACUCUGUUAUAAGAGAAGAACAAAUUGUAGAGUAACUGCUACAGUCUUGACGGUAUCUUAUCAGAAAGCCACGGCUAACUACGUGCCAGCCGCCGCCGUAA